UUCAAAUUAAGUUGAAUUUCUGUACAUGGAUUUAAAAAUCAUAGACCAAAAUGAUAUACUAAAACAAAAGAAAAGAUAACAUCUCAUUUGUUACCAAAAAAAGAAGGAAAAAAAGAUAACAUCUCAAAAUACAAUUUGACGCCUCUGCAAACCCUUGAUUUGAGCUCUUACAAUCUCUUCAGUUCUUGGCCUAGUUCUCCUGAAUAGAAGCACAAGAAAUAUGAUUCAAAUCAUAGAACUUAGAUAGAAAAGAAAUGUGAGACUUAAUUCCAGAAUAUUUUUGAGAACUGGCGUAGGUUUAUGAGAGCUGGCAUAACAACUUACGACAGUAUUUUCUAUGCAAUCAUUCAGCUGAAAAGGAAGUUAUAAUUUUUUUAAUAUAAAUGAUAACUCACACAUAUUCCUGGAACCUUCAAAUCCGCAUGAGAUGCAAAAAAACCCAGAGGGUUUAUCCCUUCUUAUGCGCCAGACCUGGGUGAAAAAAAAAUCCAAACAAAACUCAGGUCUGUUGUCUACUUGUCAGCAGUAUGUAUGUGUAAGACUUUCAGAAUUUCUCAACAACAAAAAAAAAGAGAGAGAAGGGAGCCAAAAAAAAAAAGACAUAGCUUCAUCUUAUAUAUGAAACUUAAAACCAAAAACUCAAACGGUAAGAAGCAUCAGGUAGAAGAAAAUCUUAAUAGUUUAAAUCGAUACAUACUCUAGUAAAAGAUAUCGAACCUUGUUAUAAUAUGGAAGUUCUAAGUGAUCGGUAACAGUUUCUGGACUCUCAGCACAGGCCAA
RNAcentral lists this long non-coding RNA (780 nucleotides) under Brassica napus (rape). RNAcentral's name for it is "long non-coding RNA (BNAP_LNC012329)". The record is from RNAcentral. Lineage: Eukaryota; Viridiplantae; Streptophyta; Magnoliopsida; Brassicales; Brassicaceae.